RNAcentral lists this non-coding RNA (23 nucleotides) under Arabidopsis thaliana (thale cress). The record is from RNAcentral. Lineage: Eukaryota; Viridiplantae; Streptophyta; Magnoliopsida; Brassicales; Brassicaceae.
ACAAUACCCUUUUCCGUUGGCUA